This 253-nucleotide ribosomal RNA is filed under the name uncultured bacterium. Its description in RNAcentral is "partial 16S ribosomal RNA". It matches the Rfam family "Bacterial small subunit ribosomal RNA", at positions 524 to 776 of the family's 1533-position model. The record is from RNAcentral.
UACAGAGGUCCCAAGCGUUGUUCGGAUUCACUGGGCGUAAAGGGUGCGUAGGCGGUCGGGUAAGUCUGACGUGAAAUCUCCAAGCUCAACUUGGAAAUGGCGUCGGAUACUAUUCGGCUCGAGGAAUGGAGGGGAGACUGGAAUUCUCGGUGUAGCAGUGAAAUGCGUAGAUAUCGAGAGGAACACCAGUGGCGAAGGCGAGUCUCUGGACAUUACCUGACGCUGAGGCACGAAAGCCAGGGGAGCAAACAGG